Molecule: long non-coding RNA, 563 nt
Organism: Daphnia magna
Lineage: Eukaryota; Metazoa; Arthropoda; Branchiopoda; Diplostraca; Daphniidae
Exons: 3
Source: RefSeq, a predicted model, not a curated record
CCAAGACCAUCCAUUGCUGUUGAUUCUCAGCAAGUUUUGAUUACGGAAGAAGAUUGUGAAGCCAACAUAGACUAUUCCAGCAAUUCAUUUGGAAGUUCAUACGACAAGUUGGCAACAAAUGAAGUGCAUUCAACGGUCUACCUUCCAUUGCUUCGUGUAGCAUUCUAUUUGGGAAGCCGUCUAACAAAAAAUGCUUUAAGCCUAGUGUUCUAACUCGACCAAAAUCAAUUGAAAAAUGGUCCAAUCGAUUGAUUAAUUAUAUAAAAAAUCUUAAUCGAAUUCCCAUCGACAAGAAUUUUUUACCAUCGAUUAUAAUCGAUUGAUUAAUUUUCUCAAGAAUUAUAACCGAUUAAAAUCGAUUAAAGGAAAAAAAUUAAAAAGUUUUACAAUCGAUUAUAAUCGUGUUAAUGCUUAAGGAAAUUCGUUUAUUUUUUAGACUGAAUUGAAUAGUGAAUACAUUCUUAUUGGUUUUGAAAGUAUUCGUUGACAAAUUCGUUAUCUUGUGUACUAUAACUUUAAUUGUCACUCCAAUCUUCAUCUUCUAUGAAUACUACGACUUCUUC